This is a long non-coding RNA of Gasterosteus aculeatus aculeatus (three-spined stickleback), 1272 nucleotides long. NCBI's taxonomy places the organism in Eukaryota, Metazoa, Chordata, Actinopteri, Perciformes, Gasterosteidae. The record is from Ensembl.
CACGCCUCACUGGGAUGUGGCAUCACAUCUCUCCAGGGACCUUUCCUCUGUGGACCUGUGCAACAUUUUCAAAAACUUUUGAAUGAAUACAUAAAAACAGUUCUACAUUUGGCUUCCGUCAGAUAUACGAAACACGGAUCGCAUGAGACGUCUCCCCUUAUUACUAACUCCCCUUGAAGAAACUCAAAGGCCAAGUGGUAUCUUGCUCAAGCAUCAGUGCUCAGUACGAUUCUUGGUGUCGCCUGUGAGAGAAGAGCGAGCCGCUGACAAAGAACAAAAGCCCACCAGAACCAGAAGGAUUCACUGCUGAUUUCUGUCAACCUGCUGGCUCUGACUUUUCUUACUGCUGGAAGACGACGGUGUUAAAACAAGGCUGAAUGCUGAGGGGAGAGAGAUAAGAGGUCUGCAGUAAAAAAGAAUAACCUGUCGUAUCGGGAGUGUUACGGCCUCAUGAGUCACAGGACCAAACAGGAAACAUGAGCGAGCGCUUUCUUUUCAAAAGAAAAGUCCCGUUUGAUGCCAUCAAAGGAAACACUGCGUUGAACAUUUGUAUGUUUUUCAGUUUUCGAUACCGCAAGUCAAUGGGUGGUAUACUUGGUUUUUUCCAGAUUCUGAGUAUGACCUGUUAUACUCAAAAGAUCUGAAACACUUAAAGUGAUGUGAACUGCUUCAUCGUGUGAGUUCUUGAAACAUAUUUAAAGGAAGUAAGUGCAAUUAGUAGUUUUUUUACUGCUUAUUUAAGUGCAGCUGAAGUUGCACUUCAAACACAGUACUUUUAUAACAUAAUAGAAUAUAAAUGAUUAAAAAAAAAAAGUUUAAGAAUAGCAAAGAAAGUGUGUGCGUCUGUGCGUAUGUGUGUGAGUGUGUUGGAGGUGUUUGUUUUUCAAUAUACAAUAGCAAGUUACAGGAUAAGUCAAUUGUCCUGCAAAAAUGCCAAAAUUUACUGUUAUGGUUGUUUUCAGCAAAAAUGAAUAUCACUGGAACAUGGAGUGCAUGUUAAUAAAAAUAACAUAUUGUCUUGGAUUUGGGAGGCAUGAAGGAGAUAAAACACAACAGGGGGAAAGCAGGUCAAGGAGGAAGAAGAACACGGCGGGACAGAUGGAGGGAAGAAGAGAUGUCACUCUUCAGGGGUCAAACCCAGACUGAAUGGCAAUUGAGUGGCUGUAAAGAAACCCGUUUCGAGUGCCCUCCGUCAGGCCUGAGCCAUGGAGCCGGUUGCCUAGGAGACACAUCACCUUCCACCAUGCGGGACGACGGCUCCCGCAGAUCAAC